UGUUCAGAAAAGAAGGCUCCUUUACAGUUAUUUUGCCAACGAGAAAGGGUUGUUGUCGAGCCCUGUGUUUUAUUCUGAAAGAGAACUGAAAAAAGAGGAGCCACAGCCGUUUGUAAAAAAUCAAGUGCGAAAAAAUUUGUUGUCAGAUUUGGAAAAAACAGAAUUAAAGGCAGAGGGGGGAAUGGAAGAAGAGCCUAUAUAUGAGGACAUGGCAACCGAGGAACAGCAGCAGGAUAGCGAUGUUGAAAACCAACCGAUAGACCCCGAGUUGUGGAAAGAUGGCGAUAUUGUUACGAUAACCAAGCCUGGGUCAUACAAGAUUACUGCUUUGGUGUGUAACAAACUGCCAACAGUUGCAGAGACAGAAACACCCGAGGAGGCUGCUGAAACUAUGAUUGACGGAGGUGAUUCAGAAACAAAGGACACAAACGGGGUGUCAAUGGUAAAACCCAAAGAACACGACAAGGGAAAAGCUAC
This is a long non-coding RNA of Gopherus flavomarginatus (Mexican gopher tortoise), 477 nucleotides long. RefSeq lists it as uncharacterized. The transcript is spliced from 4 exons. The record is from RefSeq and is a predicted model, not a curated record. Lineage: Eukaryota; Metazoa; Chordata; Testudines; Testudinidae.